Molecule: ribosomal RNA, 66 nt
Filed under: Tyzzerella sp. An114
Lineage: Bacteria; Bacillati; Bacillota; Clostridia; Lachnospirales; Lachnospiraceae
Description: partial 23S ribosomal RNA
Source: RNAcentral
GGUUCGAGGUGUAAGCACAGUAAUGUGUUUAGCUGACGAAUACUAAUAGGUCGAGGGCUUGACCAA